Molecule: long non-coding RNA, 322 nt
Filed under: Lupinus angustifolius (narrow-leaved blue lupine)
Lineage: Eukaryota; Viridiplantae; Streptophyta; Magnoliopsida; Fabales; Fabaceae
Description: long non-coding RNA (LANG_LNC002774)
Source: RNAcentral
UAGAACAAGAUCAUUCAUCAAAAGCAACAACAAAUCAUGAAGCACACUCAUACAUCAAGCCUCACCAGAUCACAGAUUCAUCAUGCCUAGGCUUGGCAAUCACAAACAACAAAUGUGCAGAUACUUCACACAAAACACACAUACUCAAAGACUACAUUGAUCAUGACCACAAUAACACAAGGCUGCAUCAAGACUAUGCAAACCAAGCUCAUGAUAAAUAGGAACAGAGCCCAGAGCCCAACAACUUUAGAAAACAGGGCAGACUUUUCUUAAGUCACAAGCUAUUUCUGUUUUGGUUGUUAUUGCUAUUUUAGCACAUGUG